GACGAACGCUGGCGGCGUGCUUAACACAUGCAAGUCGAACGGAAAGGCCCUGCUUUUGUGGGGUUCUCGAGUGGCGAACGGGUGAGUAACACGUGAGUAACCUGCCCUUGACUUUGGGAUAACUUCAGGAAACUGGGGCUAAUACCGUAUAGGAUCUCCUGCUGCAUGGUGGGGGUUGGAAAGUUUCGGCUGUUGGGGAUGGACUCGCGGCUUAUCAGCUUGUUGGUUGGGUAGUGGCUUACCAAGGCUUUGACGGGUAGCCGGCCUGAGAGGGUGACCGGCGACAUUGCGACUGAGAUACGGACCAGACUCCUACGGGAGGCAGCGGGGGGGAAUAUUGCCCAGUGGGCGGAAGCCUGAUGCAGAAACGCCGCGUGCGGGAUGACGGCCUUCGGGUUGUAAACCGCUUUCGCCUGUGACGAAGCGUGAGUGACGGUAAUGGGUAAAGAAGCACCGGCUAACUACGUG
Molecule: ribosomal RNA, 468 nt
Filed under: uncultured bacterium
Lineage: Bacteria
Description: partial 16S ribosomal RNA
Rfam family: Bacterial small subunit ribosomal RNA
Source: RNAcentral